UACGUAGGGUGCGAGCGUUAAUCGGAAUUACUGGGCGUAAAGCGUGCGCAGGCGGUUUUGUGAGCCAGAUGUGAAAUCCCCGAGCUUAACUUGGGAAUGGCGCUUGAAACUACGGUGCUGGAGUGUGGCAGAGGGAGGUGGAAUUCCACGUGUAGCGGUGAAAUGCGUAGAGAUGUGGAGGAACACCGAUGGCGAAGGCAGCCUCCUGGGCCAACACUGACGCUCAUGCACGAAAGCGUGGGGAGCAAACAGG
This 253-nucleotide ribosomal RNA is filed under the name uncultured bacterium. Its description in RNAcentral is "partial 16S ribosomal RNA". It matches the Rfam family "Bacterial small subunit ribosomal RNA", at positions 524 to 776 of the family's 1533-position model. The record is from RNAcentral.